This 423-nucleotide ribosomal RNA is filed under the name uncultured bacterium. Its description in RNAcentral is "partial 16S ribosomal RNA". It matches the Rfam family "Bacterial small subunit ribosomal RNA", at positions 361 to 776 of the family's 1533-position model. The record is from RNAcentral.
AUAUUGGACAAUGGGCGAAAGCCUGCUCCAGUCACGCCGCGUGUGCGAAGAAGGUCUUCGGUUUGUAAAGCACAUCAAGUCGCGAGGAAGCGCCGGAAGUCAGUACCUUCCUGUUUUGACGUUCCCGACAGAUUAACUACCGGCUAACUCCGUGCCAGCAUCCGCGGUAAUACUAAGGGUGCAAGCGUUAAUCGGAAUUACUGGGCGUAAAGGGCGCGUAGGUAGUUUGUUAAGUUGGAAGUGAAAGGCCCGGGCUCAACCUGGGAACUGCUUUCAAAACUGGCAAGCUAGAGUAUGGAAGAGGGUGGUGGAAUUUCCUGUGUAGCGGUGAAAUGCGUAGAUAUAGGAAGGAACACCAGUGGCAAAGGCGACCACCUGGGCUAAUACUGACACUGAGGUGCGAAAGCGUGGGGAGCAAACAGG